Molecule: ribosomal RNA, 466 nt
Filed under: uncultured bacterium
Lineage: Bacteria
Description: partial 16S ribosomal RNA
Rfam family: Bacterial small subunit ribosomal RNA
Source: RNAcentral
CCUACGGGAGGCAGCAGUCGAGAAUCAUUCACAAUGGGGGAAACCCUGAUGGUGCGACGCCGCGUGGGGGAAUGAAGGUCUUCGGAUCGUAAAACCCUGUUGUUAGAGAAGAAAGUGCGUGAGAGUAACUGUUCACGUUUCGACGGUAUCUAACCAGAAAGCCACGGCUAACUACGUGCCAGCAGCCGCGGUAAUACGUAGGUGGCAAGCGUUAUCCGGAUUUAUUGGGCGUAAAGGGAACGCAGGCGGUCUUUUAAGUCUGAUGUGAAAGCCUUCGGCUUAACCGGAGUAGUGCAUUGGAAACUGGGAGACGUGAGUGCAGAAGAGGAGAGUGGAACUCCAUGUGUAGCGGUGAAAUGCGUAGAUAUAUGGAAGAACACCAGUGGCGAAAGCGGCUCUCUGGUCUGUAACUGACGCUGAGGUUCGAAAGCGUGGGUAGCAAACAGGAUUAGAUACCCGAGUAGUC